Quercus lobata is the source of this 3417-nucleotide RNA transcript. It is a transcript of the gene named cation/H(+) antiporter 15-like, with no coding region annotated. The record is from RefSeq and is a predicted model, not a curated record. NCBI's taxonomy places the organism in Eukaryota, Viridiplantae, Streptophyta, Magnoliopsida, Fagales, Fagaceae. The transcript has 5 exons.
UGGGAUUAGUUCAUGAGAUUUUUACUAUAGGGUCUGCUAAAUUGAUUUGGAUUGACAGAUAUUGAUAAUUUGGGAUUUGAAGAUUCAUUUUGCAGCACGAAGCUAAAGGCUAAUCAUCAGUCAUCACAGGAAGGAAAGGUGCUUUAACAGAUAUAAUAGGAAUGGACUUUUUGCAAAUGGAGAAUUGUAGUUGCAUAUAGAGAAAUAUGGUGGAUCAAAUUAAGAGGUGCAGUCUGUGAUUUAAACUUUGGAGAAAAUUAGCUACUUCUUGACCACACACUCCCCAUGUAUAGACAAUUUGGAUGCAGCAUUUGAUAAAUUGAUGGGGUGGAUAAUAAUUUCUACUUAAUGAAGCAUGAAUUUUAUGAGAUUAAUAUGGUAGAUGACAGUAUCCACUAUCCACAUACUAUGAAACUUAGGAAAGUAGGGUCAGAACGAUGGAAGCUGUAGAAGCAGCUGACACAUAAAAGGGGGUUGCUUUAAGUGGGGACUAUGGGAAAAGAAGGCAAGAAGGUGAUCGUACUUGCAGCAAGUGAGACACCGCAUGCAUGAAGCCUUGGAGCGUGGAGAGAUGAAUGUCCCUUAACCUUUGGUCAAAGGUCUGAACGAACAAAGAGGAACCAUUGACACUUUUCCCCAUUUGCUCUUGUUAAUUUGUUAUUGUUGACAUUGUUGUUGCUGUUCUCCCCCUCUCUCUCUCUCUGUCCCGUCCAUCCAUCUCUAAACUCUCUUCCCACAUGGAUUUCCCUCCUAUUCAUUUGUAUUCCUCUUUGUUUCUCUCUUUCCCCACCCCUAACCUAAAACCUCUCUCAACAAAAAAACAAAAAGUCUAUCAUCUCUCUUACCCUCAUGCAGCUUCAGUCACAUAAAAAUGAGCACAGACAAUAAGCUGACUCAAGAAUUAAUGAAAGUUGGCUCCUCCACAUGCAGCAUUUUUGGUCGCAGCUUAAACUCAAGGGGUAUAUGGUUUGGAGAUGACCCUCUCGACUUCUCUCUCCCUCUCUUGCUGUUGCAGCUCUCCCUCAUUUGCAUCUUCUCUCGUUCCCUUCACGCCCUUUUCAAGAAUCUUGACCAACCCUCCAUUGUUUCUCAGAUUGUUGCUGGUGUAAUUUUAGGUCCCUCAGUUCUUGGGCGCAGUGCAGCUUAUGCAGUCAAAGUUUUCCCACCUAAAGGGAAAAUUUUAGUGGACACCUUGGCAGUUUUUGGUCUCAUGCUAUUUGUGUUCCUACAUGGGGUGAAGACAGACCCAACUAUCUUUCUUAAAUCAGGCAAGAGGCCAUUGGCUAUAGGAAUUUUAGGCUUCUUUGUUCCUUAUGCACUGGCUGGACUAGUAGCCUUAGUCCUCAAUCAUUUUCUGUCAUUGGAUCAUGAUAUUUCCAAUGUGCUUCACCUUGUGGCAGUAUUACAGUCUCUGACUUCCUUCCCAGUUAUUGCUUGCUUUCUGGCUGAACUCAAGCUCCUCAAUUCAGAGCUUGGACGGCUGGCGUCAUGUUCUUCAAUUGUGUCUGAUAUGUGCCACUGGUUUAUUGUGGCAGUGAGGAUUGCUACAAGACUAACUAUUGCAAGGUCAUUGAGAACAUCAAUUGGGGCUACUCUCUCAACUAUCCUUCUUGUUAUAUUCUUUGUGGUUGGAAUCCGUCCAGCAGCUCUAUGGGCAAUUCGACAUUUCCCUGAAGGGAAACCUGUAAAAGAGAUCUAUAUUUCUGUAGUCCUUAUAGCACUAUUGUUUUGUGGAUUUAUGGGUGAAGUUAUUGGCAUAAACGCUUUUAUCAGUUCUUUCGUAUUGGGCUUGUUCAUACCAGAUGGCCCUCCUUUAGGUGCUGCACUAGUAGAGAGGUUUGAUUGCUUUGUUUCAGUAUUGCUGAUGCCUAUAUUUUUCACCUCAUGUGGAUUAAAGGUGGAUAUUUUUGCCAUAAAAAAUUUUAAGAAUGUGGGAAUGAUUCAGUUGGUUGUUGUUGCUGCAUUAUUUGGGAAGAUGAUAGGGACAAUGUUGCCUCCUAUCUUGUGUAGGAUGAUGCGACUCCGAGAUGCCCUCUCUCUUGGUAUUAUUAUGAACUCCAAAGGCAUUGCUGAACUUGCUAUAUUGAUUCGCUGGAAGGAACACAAUGUCAUAAAUGAAGAAUGCUUCACCAUUUUGAUAAUCUCUUUGCUGAUUGUAACUGGAGCUAUCACUCCCCUCACCAAUGCCCUAUAUGAUCCUUCAAAGAGGUUCCUUGCCUACAAAAGGAGGACUAUUUUACACCACAGGAGCGAUGAAGAGCUGCGCAUACUUGCUUGCAUCCAUACAACCGAUAAUGUCCAAGCAGUUUUGAACCUUCUUUCUGCUUCCAACCCCAGCAAAGAGAGCCCCAUCAAUUUAGCUGUUCUGCACCUAAUCAAGCUUGUUGGCCGUGCAUCCCCCCUACUCAUUGCUUGUGUGUCAAGGGAAAAUAAAUCUCAAUAUUCAACUCAAUCAGAACAAAUUUUCAAUGCAUUUAGAAAAUUUGAACAACAUUACUCUGGCCAUGUUAUAGUGCAUUGUUAUAAAGGCAUUUCCCCUUAUGCUACAAUGCACAAUGAUGUAUGCUCCCUAGCUCUUGAAAAGAGAACAACCUUCAUAGUCAUCCCUUUCCACAAGCAGUGGGUUAUUGGGGGAAGAGUAGAAUCCUCUAAUACUCUUAGGCACCUCAACAAUAAUGUGCUUGAUAAGGCUCCCUGCUCUGUUGGAGUCCUCAUUGACCGUGGGAAUCAGAGGAAACCUUGGUCCAUUCUUGGACAACCCUCAAUGUAUCGGGUGGCUGUGCUCUUCUUUGGGGGUGCGGAUGACCGAGAAGUACUAGCAUAUGCUGGACGCAUGUAUGAUGAUCAUAAUGUUCUAAUUACACUUCUACGUUUCUAUUCUUCAACUGAGAUUGUUGGAGGUACAGCUAGGAGCAAGAUACUUGAUACCGAAAUCUUGAGUCAAUUUAGGCUCAAUGCCUUUCGUAAUCAGCGAGUUUCUUACCAAGAGGAGAUGGUGAUGGAUGGAAAUGGUGUACUUGCUGUACUCAGGUCAAUGGAGAAUGCUUAUGACCUUGUUAUGGUUGGGAGACGUCAUCAGGAUUCGCAAUUGAUGUCAGACCUUGGGAAAUGGAGUGAGCAUGGUGAGUUGGGUGCAAUAGGAGAUAUACUCGCUGCCAAAGAUUUUAGGGGUGCAGCUUCAGUUUUGGUUGUGCAGCAACAGACCAAAUUGUGGGGGUUGAAUGACCCUGAGGAUUCCACGCAAUUGAGAAGAGCAAAUAUAUAAGAGUUUUUAGGAUUUUGAACAUGUUCAGUUAUAGAUAUAAUCAUAUAGACCUAGUGCAGGAUCUAAUUCACAGCCUCCAUCAUUCCAAGUUGUGUAUCCAAUUAUCUUCUUGAUCUUUUUCUCUCUUCCAUUUCCUUGUGGGUAAGAGAUAA